CGUGUUUGACCGAGUGGAGAGAGUUUGAGAUCCCCACUUUGCAGAGCGCAUGUGGACUGCCAGCCUGUCCGGGACUGAGCGCACGAUGAAGACGAGCGACAGGAGGACAGUUUCCUUUUCUGAUCUGUAAGAUGAGAGCCCCGGCGCUGAGGCCGAAGAGUUCAGGAGGAUUUGUAAAGGGAAGAUUAACAGUUCACGAAGGAGAAAUGUCCACAACUGCAACUCCAACCAUCCCCUCCUUCCAGCUGACAUCUGAUCAACUCACAGUGGUCGCUGCGUCCUUUUCCUCUCUGGUGUUCUUCGUGGUUAUCGUGGUGCUGCUGUCCAUCAUCUACCGCAAGGAUCCUCAGUGCUGCAGACUGUUUUCCUAUCAGGGGCCACAUGCAGAUAUGUACAAACCAGUGAGGGGAAAAUGACCUUUGACAUCACCUUUUCUUGGUGCCAUCUCUGUGUGUCUGUGAAACGUAAUGAGGGUUAUGGCAAAGGUCGACAGAUCGCGUCACUUUGAUGGGUGCUCCCUCUCAGUACUACAGCAGCAGGCAGACGCUGGUGCCAUCUCCUUUUCUCGAGCAGACACAGAUCACUGAUGACAGCAGCACUCAGGCAGGUCAGCUGUUCUACGUCGGCCUGCCCUCCAGCUACAGCCUGCCUGUGCUGGAAGGCCCCCUGCCGAGGCUCCCCUCCUAUGAGAGCGUCCGAAAGAAGGACCGCCAGAGGCAGAUCCACAUGAUGAUCGCAGACCGUUUUGGUCUCAAUGGACCCAUUGUGACUGAGCCUCCUCCAACAUACGAAGAGAGCAUCCGUCAGUCGGUGGAGCUGCCGUACGACAUCCUCUCAUCCAGCCUGGACGUCCCCUCUGCUCAGAGUUUCUACACCAACACUAGAGCCGUCGUUCAGACUGACACAGCGCCUCCAGCUAACUUUGAGGCCGCCGACAACACCGUCCUACCCAUGUGACGCCGAUCAAGCCAUCAAACUUUCUGGUGAAUGUGAAGCAGAAUUGCGAUAUUUAACGUAACGCAGAUGCAGUUACUAAAUCGACUGGAUCCUUAACACUUGUGUACAAGAUGAUUCUGAUACCUCAAAACUGACAGAGCUAAUGUUGAUCAUGAGCUGGAAGGCAACCAUACGAGGAGCCGCACACCCUGCAGGGAAGGACACGUUUGAAUGUUAAAAAUACUUUGUGACAUUUACUGUGCUCUACCGUGCCCGUGAGUUUGAAAACAGAAACACUGAAUACUCAUAAAACUAAGGUGGCUGGCACAUCUCGAACAGGAGAGGGCAGAACUGAAACAUACCAAAAAAAGGGAACGACUAUUUACUUUGUUGGUUACAGUGACGUGUAUUAAAUUCUGUUAAUGGACUUAUGUUUUCACAGUUAGCUCUUCUCAUUUAUUCUAAUGUCCCCGAACUGGAAACCUCAUUGUGUGGUUUUUAAAGAGGUCUGUUUGUUUAGUAGCUGCCGCAAAGCGGGCUUCUUUACCCCGCUGAGGCGAUGCAACGCUGCUCUAGCUUGAGAGGGAGAAUAAAAAAGGUGCUAAUGAGAGUGCCUUUCAUGGAAUCGAAACUAGACAUUCAUUACAAAACCUUUGUCUUUACCCCAUCUUUUGAUUUUUUUCUAUUUACACACCAGAUUUUAUGUCUUAAUGUUCUGUGCGUUAUUUUCUCUUACUUUCCAUGUGCACGAGUCGUAUGUUUGCCCUGCAUAUGUCUCGUACUGUAUUUAUUGAAGAAAGAUAACUGACAUCUUGUUAUUUCUCUGUGGAAACAAAUGUAAUAAAUACUUUUAUUGCUUUGUUCGUGAAUGUUUUUCAUUACACAGCCGCAGUUUAUGUAUGUGGACCACAUCCAAACCACUCACAGUGAGGUAAGAUUUUAUAUGCGCGUUUCUGAGUGCAUGUUGUUUUGAAAACAAAGGAC
This is a long non-coding RNA of Astatotilapia calliptera (eastern happy), 1920 nucleotides long. Lineage: Eukaryota; Metazoa; Chordata; Actinopteri; Cichliformes; Cichlidae. The record is from Ensembl.